CUGAGGAAUUCCUUUAACAUAUGGUUCAACACAUUGUUGCUUCAAAGCAUCUAAUAAUGUUACUAUUAAUUUGUCAUUAUGUUCAUAAUAUUGUGUCAAAUGUUUUUUCCGUGUUAGAUAGUAAAAAGGCAGAUAUUCAUACAAGAAACAUAGGCUGCGAGUCAUCAUUGGUAACUGCGUACGUUUCUACGCUAAGCCCAGAAAGACUCGAUACGUGAACCGUUGCCGACUUCAAUGUUCUUCAGCAAGGUUUCCAUGUUGGUUAGUACCUCUCACGACGUAGCAGUGAGCGGCCUUGACUCUGGCUCUCUUGGUGAAUGUCUAUACAAGCGAACGCACACAGCCAUUCGUGUCCUCCUUGUUCUCUUGUCUUACCUAACAAAUGGCGAGUUUUUCCCUCUCUAUUUCUCCCACCGCGCGAGCGUUGUGCUCGCUAAGAGACGAAAGCUAAAAUGGGCGAAUGAGCACUGCCUCGUUUCCUUCCAGAGAUCAGAGUGUUAGACUGGUUAAGCGAGCGUGCGAAAAGAGGAAGUGGAGAGACGUAGACGAAGCGAAUCCGUACGAAGCGAAGAAAAAGAAACAGAUUCACGUAAGCACGUAGCUCAAGUUAGUGCUUAUGUAGCAGCGUGGAAACAAGAAGAGAGAGCCGUACAGAGAAAGACCGAGAGCGAGCGAAAGAAACGACGAAGCCUCGAUGCGUAUCGGAGACCGACCUCGCAGUGCUCAACGAAGCUUCACGAGACGGUAAUCGUGUCCGGUUUUAUUCGCCAUCGGCGAUAGACCUCGCAUCCUAGCGAUAUCAACACCGGUCAUAUCGCAAAAUCACAUCGUUGUAGUUAAUUGCAGCGGAAUUGCUAACGUCAGCAUCAUCGCGCGGUUCGCCGAUCAGAGCUGUGCAUUAACAUGCUCGGGUGUGCCUCCCGCGCCCACUCUCGGCCUUGAGCCGAGAACCUGGAUCGCUGGCAAGAGAACUAGAGAAUCGCGGUCUCAAUUGAGAGACAUAGAGAGCAAUGAAGGUGAAGAAGAAGAGAGGAGACGAAAACUGGAGAAUAGAAACGAGAGGGAUGAAAAAAACGGGACGAAAGAAGGAGAUAGAGAUAAUUAUAACUUUUGAAAUAUUUUAUCGCAAGACAUCAGUUCUGACGUAAUAUGCAAAUACGAUUCAAUAUUUCAUCCUGUACCUAUUGUAUUUAAAUCCUAGAAGAAAGUAAUAAAUAAAAAUUUCUACGUCCAUCGACAAAUAAUAUAUACAGGCAGUAAAGCCUCAAAAAUUUCAAGCUAUCAGAAAUAUGUAUGAAAAAGUCACGAUUCUAAAAUGUAAUCCUGAUAUUACUAUUUAAGUGUGAUUAAAAUCGCACAAUUAUCGUACUAAAAAUUCUAACUGUAAUAAUUUGUGCGAAAGUUUGAUAUGAUCCACUAUGAAAAGUCUAUCUAAAAAAAGGUCAAAUAAAAUUAGUAUUACAUAGAAUAACUCAUCAUUUUUUGCAUAAUUAUUUCCAGAAACCAAUGGUUGUUGAAAAAAAAAUUCGAGAUUAAAAUUAUUUUUUUCGCAAAUUACAUAAAGAAGGGUAUUAUAUUCUAAAGGAAGUAAAUCAAUUUAUUUCGCGGCAAGGAAUAAUCUUUUUUUAUUAAAUCAUAAGAAAGAUGAGGUUUAAAUCGAACUGAUUAUGGAAUAGUGUUUACUUUGUGUCUUUUCGAUAAGAAGACAGAUGAACAGGAAGACAGACCGGUCAGUUGGUCGGUCGGUCGGUCGAUCGCUCGAUUUGCUUCGUGUUCAUCACAAAAGAGGUGAAACGAGAUUCUAACUAGAAGAGAAGGUUGAGGUUUGAGUUCGAGGCCGGCUCUCUCACUUUCCCACAAUUGUACCUACCUACUUACGCGUACCCGCAGAGAUAUAUGUACAUAUUCUACGUGCGUCAUAUGCGUAAUGUAUGCUGGUAGAGCAGCGCUCGGAAUUAGUUGCACAUUUUGGGCCGAUUCAGGAGACGACGCCUCCUGUUGUCCCACUACCACAAUCCAGCACUUAGCUUGCUGCCCCAUGACAGCUCCACUACUUCCCUAUUUAAUUCGACCGCCUACUAAAUAUCGAAACAAGCCUUACUAGACUUUAUACUCCUACAUAUAAAAAUUUGACUGAAAAAAGAUCGAGGUGGCGGCCGAGCCGCCGAUAGCUCUGGCUCAGGAGCGUUUUAUGUAAGAAAUAGGCUGAAUUGUUUAGACAUCUUUCAG
Molecule: long non-coding RNA, 2229 nt
Organism: Linepithema humile (Argentine ant)
Lineage: Eukaryota; Metazoa; Arthropoda; Insecta; Hymenoptera; Formicidae
Source: RefSeq, a predicted model, not a curated record